UACGUAGGGUGCGAGCGUUAAUCGGAUUUACUGGGCGUAAAGCGUGCGCAGGCGGCCCGUUAAGACAGGUGUGAAAUCCCUGGGCUCAACCUAGGAAUUGCGCUUGUGACUGGCGGGCUCGAGUACGGUAGAGGGGGGUGGAAUUCCUGGUGCAGCAGUGAAAUGCGUAGAGAUCAGGAGGAACACCGAUGGCGAAGGCAGCCCCCUGGGCCUGUACUGACGCUCAUGCACGAAAGCGUGGGGAGCAAACAGG
Molecule: ribosomal RNA, 253 nt
Filed under: uncultured microorganism
Description: partial 16S ribosomal RNA
Rfam family: Bacterial small subunit ribosomal RNA
Source: RNAcentral